UAAAGUGCUUUCGAAGAGUCGAGUUGUUUGGGAAUGCAGCUCUAAGUGGGUGGUAAAUUCCAUCUAAAGCUAAAUAUUGGCGAGAGACCGAUAGCGAACAAGUACAGUGAUGGAAAGAUGAAAAGAACUUUGAAAAGAGAGUGAAAAAGUACGUGAAAUUGUUGAAAGGGAAGGGCUUGAGAUCAGACUUGGUAUUUUGCGAUCCUUUCCUUCUUGGUUGGGUUCCUCGCAGCUUACUGGGCCAGCAUCGGUUUGGAUGGUAGGAUAAUGACUAAGGAAUGUGGCUCUACUUCGGUGGAGUGUUAUAGCCUUGGUUGAUACUGCCUGUCUAGACCGAGGACUGCGUCUUUUGACUAGGAUGUUGGCAUAAUGAUCUUAAGCCACCCGUCUUGAAACACGGACCAAGGAGUCUAACGUCUAUGCGAGUGUUUGGGUGUAAAACCCGUACGCGUAAUGAAAGUGAACGUAGGUGAGAGCUCUUAAGAGUGCAUCAUCGACCGAUCCUGAUGUCUUCGGAUGGAUUUGAGUAAGAGCAUAGCUGUUGGGACCCGAAAGAUGGUGAACUAUGCCUGAAUAGGGUGAAGCCAGAGGAAACUCUGGUGGAGGCUCGUAGCGGUUCUGACGUGCAAAUCGAUCGUCGAAUUUGGGUAUAGGGCGAAAGAC
Molecule: ribosomal RNA, 663 nt
Filed under: Debaryomyces hansenii
Lineage: Eukaryota; Fungi; Ascomycota; Pichiomycetes; Serinales; Debaryomycetaceae
Description: partial large subunit ribosomal RNA
Rfam family: Eukaryotic large subunit ribosomal RNA
Source: RNAcentral